GAAGGCUGAGCCAGCCUCUGGUGCUCACACCUGAGCAUCAGGGCACCAAUUAUUACCUGCCUGAGCCAGGCAACCAGGCAAAGAGACAACCCGUGACAUUUUGCGAGCUGAAAAUGGAAGUGGGACGAAAGAGCGAGGCAGGCAGUCCUGACUCUGCCAUCAGGCCAAGAAGAAAGGAUGGCAGAAGGCACGUCGCCAACAAGCAACCCCAGGCCAGUCCUCAGCCUCUCUCUCUCCGCCUAGCAGAGGGCUGGCAUAAUUCCAUUUGCUGCCUUUGAAAAUAUAUUGAGAGACUUCAGGCUUCAUCUCCAACACAAAAAGAGCUUGGAGGUUAUCACUCCUGAGCUCACAAGGAAAACAAAAAUGGAGAAAACUGAAAAUCAACAACUUUACUUAGCCGGAUGUGGUGGCUCAUGCCUGUAAUCCCAGAAUUUUGUGAGGCAGAGAUGGGCAGAUUGCUUGAGCCCAGGAAUUUAAGACCAGCCUUGACAAUAUUGUGAGAUCCCAUCUUUACAAAAAAAAAUAAUAAUAAAUAUAGCCCAGGUGUGGUGGUACAUGCCUGCAGUCCCAGCUACGUGGGAGGCUGAAGUGGGAGAACAGCUUGAGCCUGAGAAAUCGAGGCUGUGGUGAACCGCACUCCAGCCCAGGUGACAGAGGGAGGGCCUGUCUGAAAAAAAGAAAAGAAAGAGAGGAAAGAAAGAGAG
This 704-nucleotide long non-coding RNA is filed under the name Homo sapiens (human). RNAcentral's name for it is "HSALNT0279089". The record is from RNAcentral. Lineage: Eukaryota; Metazoa; Chordata; Mammalia; Primates; Hominidae.